Molecule: ribosomal RNA, 430 nt
Filed under: uncultured Spirochaeta sp.
Lineage: Bacteria; Pseudomonadati; Spirochaetota; Spirochaetia; Spirochaetales; Spirochaetaceae
Description: bacterial SSU rRNA
Rfam family: Bacterial small subunit ribosomal RNA
Source: RNAcentral
GGUACGCGAGGAACCUUACCAGGGACUUGACAUACGUUGGAAGCGCAUCGAAAGGUGACGUGCCGCUUGCGGCCGGCGUACAGGUGCUGCAUGGCUGUCGUCAGCUCGUGCUGUGAAGUGUUGGGUUAAGUCCCGGCAACCGAGCGCAACCCCUGCCUGCCUGUUGCCACCACGAGAGGUGGGGACUCAGGCGGGACCGCCGGUGACAAACCGGAGGAAGGUGGGGACGACGUCAAGUCAUCAUGGCCCUUAUGUCCUGGGCUACACACGUGCUACAAUGGUCGGUACAGAGCGCAGCGAGGCCGCGAGGCGGAGCGAAUCGCUUAAAGCCGGUCCCAGUACGGAUUGGAGUCUGCAACCCGACUCCAUGAAGUUGGAAUCGCUAGUAAUCGCGCAUCAGCAUGGCGCGGUGAAUACGUUCCCGGGCCUU